GACGAACGCUGGCGGCGUGCUUAACACAUGCAAGUCGAACGGAAAGGCCCUGCUUGCAGGGUACUCGAGUGGCCAACGAGUGAGUAACACGUGAAUGGUCUGCCCUGAACUUCGGGAUAAGCCUGGGAAACUGGGUCUACUACCGGAUAGAAGCCAUUAUACGUGAGAUGGUUGGAAAGUUUGUUCGGUGUAGGUUGAGCUCGCGGCCUAUCAGCUUGUUGGUGGGGUAAUGGCCUACUAAGCCGGCGACGGGUAGCAGGACUGAGAGGGUGAACGGCCACAUUGGGACUGAGAGACGGCACAGACUCCGAAGGGAGGCAGCAGGGGGGAAGCUUGAACAAGGGGCGCAAGCCUGAUGCAGAGAGGCCUCGUGGGGGAUGACGGCCUUCGGGUUGUAAACUCCUUUCGCUAGGGACGAAGCUUUUUGUGACGGUACCUAGCCAAGAAGCCCCGGCUAACUACGUG
RNAcentral lists this ribosomal RNA (465 nucleotides) under uncultured bacterium. RNAcentral's name for it is "partial 16S ribosomal RNA". It matches the Rfam family "Bacterial small subunit ribosomal RNA", at positions 28 to 507 of the family's 1533-position model. The record is from RNAcentral.